This 74-nucleotide transfer RNA is filed under the name Deltaproteobacteria bacterium. RNAcentral's name for it is "tRNA-Arg". It matches the Rfam family "tRNA". From Rfam's summary of the family: Transfer RNA (tRNA) molecules are approximately 80 nucleotides in length. Their secondary structure includes four short double-helical elements and three loops (D, anti-codon, and T loops). Lineage: Bacteria; Pseudomonadati; Myxococcota; Myxococcia. The record is from RNAcentral.
GCGCUCAUAGCUCAGUGGAUCAGAGCAUCUGGCUUCGAACCAGAGGGUCGGGAGUUCAAAUCUCUCUGGGCGCG